Molecule: long non-coding RNA, 271 nt
Organism: Galeopterus variegatus (Sunda flying lemur)
Lineage: Eukaryota; Metazoa; Chordata; Mammalia; Dermoptera; Cynocephalidae
Exons: 2
Source: RefSeq, a predicted model, not a curated record
ACAAACCAUUUUUUAGAACAAUACACCUCUGAAUAUUAUUUCUGUUUCAUAAGAGCACAAAGUGUGUGGACCUACGGGAGCUGUGACCUCAACGCCAUCGGAAUUUCUAUUUUAGAAAUGUGCUUUGCAUGUUAAAAUUCACAAGUUGGGAAACUAUGGUAUGAGCGAAUCUGAUUUCCCACAGUGAGAGGCAUAAAGGAAUAGGCAGGACUCAAUUUGGGGUGGGAGGAGAUGAAUAAGGGAGAAUAGGACAGUUAGGGUCUGAAUCUUU